AAGAGUCUUUGGUAGAGGAAACUGCUGAGAUCUUGCAGCUGUUUGCCAUCCUAGAAGAGUGUAGUUAUGCUGAUAGAUUCAGGGGACCUUGGGACUUUUGGCCUUAAAGAUUUGGGUCCCUAGAGUUCGCAGCUGAGAGGAGUGCAUGGCAGAGUCUCCUUUGGUGCGCUGUUGUGCUAGCCAUGGGACCCGUGUGCAGAGGAUUUACAAUGAAGCAGUGGUCGGGUGGGUCCCACCUUCCCACACCCCUGGGUUGCUGGGAUUGGGGGAGUGGUGAGCAUUGGAAGGAGGUACUCAGAGGGGAGAGGGCAAUUUAUAGUUUAUAUAAUUAUAUAAUUUAUAUAUUUAAUGAUCACCAUUCUAACUGGUGUGAGAUGGUAUCUCAUUGUGGUUUUGAUUUGCAUUUCUCUGAUGGCCAGUGAUGAUGAGCAUUUUUUCAUGUGUUUUUUGGCUGCAUAAAUGUCUUCUUUUGAGAAGUGUCUGUUCAUAUCCUUCACCCACUUUUUGAUGGGGUUGUUUUUUUCUUGUAAAUUUGUUUGAGUUCAUCGUAGAUUCUGGAUAUUAGCCCUUUGUCAGAUGAGUAGGUUGCAAAAAUUUUCUCCCAUUCUGUAGGUUGCCUGUUCACUCUGAUGGUAGUUUCUUUUGCUGUGCAGAAGCUCUUUAGUUUAAUUAGAUCCCAUUUGUCAAUUUUGGCUUUUGUUGCCAUUGCUUUUGGUGUUUUGGACAUGAAGUCCUUGCCCAUGCAUUAAAAAGUCAGGAAACAACAGGUGCUGGAGAGGAUGUGGAGAAAUAGGAACACUUUUACACUGUUGGUGGGACUGUAAACUAGUUCAACCAUUGUGGAAGUCAGUGUGGAGAUUCCUCAGGGAUCUAGAACUAGAAAUACCAUUUGACCCAGCCAUCCCAUUACUGGGUAUGUACUCAAAGGAUUAUAAAUCAUGCUGCUAUAAAGACACAUGCACACGUAUGUUUAUUGCGGCACUACUCACAAUAGCAAAGACUUGGAACCAACCCAAAUGUCCAACAAUGAUAGACUGGAUUAAGAAAAUGUGGCACAUAUACACCAUGGAAUACCAUGCAGCCAUAAAAAAUGAUGAGUUCAUGUCCUUUGUAGGGACAUGGAUGAAGCUGGAAACCAUCAUUCUCAGCAAACUAUCCCAAGGACAAAAAACCAAACACGGCAUGUUCUCACUCAUAGGUGGGAAUUGAACAAUGAGGACACAUGGACACAGGAAGGGGAACAUCACGCACCGGGGCCUGUCGUGGGGUGGGGGGAGUGGGGAGGGAUAGCAUUAGGAGAUAUAGCUAAUGCUAAAUGACGAGUUAAUGGGUGCAGCACACCAACAUGGCACGUGUAUACAUAUGUAACAAACCUGCACGUUGUGCACAUGUACCCUAAAACUUAAAGUAUAAAAAAAAAAAGUGGUAAUGGGAAGGAGGGACUUUUACUGUAAAAAAAAUUAUAUAUUUAAAUUUAUAAAUUUAAAAAUUCUGCAAGUACAUAGACUCUACCUCCUCCCCCCUCAAAGCUCUUGUCUGAAACACCACUGUUCCAGAACACCUGGGGCUUCUUUACCUGAGUAUUAUGCUAUUCUCAUUAAGCACAAGAACAUGCAACAAUUACGUAGAAGUGUGCGUGUGGGGAAAAUUGAACACAUUUCACAAGGGAAUGGUGAGGGAGUGGGUAUACAAAGCCGGCUUUGAACCUGCAAACCCGGGCCAGCCAACAUGUCACAGGUGAGAGCGUGUUAGUGAGAGGGUGAUGACAGUUCUGGGACCGUUAAUUCAUGGAUCCUCAGAUACACUCGGGCAAUUGUUCUGGGUUUCCGGGAGGUGCGAGGGCGUUCCUCCUCCAGGGCGCGUGCAGGCCACGCUGAGCAGCCCUGCUGAACGUCUCCCGGUGUGCCGUCUCUCUGUUUCUCUGUUCCCCUUUCCGUCUUCUCUCUUAUGUUCCUACUUGUCCUUUCUUCUUGACUUCCU
RNAcentral lists this long non-coding RNA (1980 nucleotides) under Homo sapiens (human). RNAcentral's name for it is "non-protein coding lnc-WRNIP1-34:1". Lineage: Eukaryota; Metazoa; Chordata; Mammalia; Primates; Hominidae. The record is from RNAcentral.